GACGAACGCUGGCGGCGUGCUUAACACAUGCAAGUCGAACGGAAAGGCCCUGCUUUUGUGGGGUGCUCGAGUGGCGAACGGGUGAGUAACACGUGAGUAACCUGCCCUUGACUUUGGGAUAACUUCAGGAAACUGGGGCUAAUACCGGAUAGGAGCUCCUGCUGCAUGGUGGGGGUUGGAAAGUUUCGGCGGUUGGGGAUGGACUCGCGGCUUAUCAGCUUGUUGGUGGGGUAGUGGCUUACCAAGGCUUUGACGGGUAGCCGGCCUGAGAGGGUGACCGGCCACAUUGGGACUGAACUACGGCCCAGACUCCUACGGGAGGCAGCAGUGGGGAAUAUUGCACAAGGGGCGGAAGCCUGAUGCAGCAACGCCGCGUGCGGGAUGACGGCCUUCGGGUUGUAAACCGCUUUCGCCUGUGACGAAGCGUGAGUGACGGUAAUGGGUAAAGAAGCACCGGCUAACUACGUG
This 468-nucleotide ribosomal RNA is filed under the name uncultured bacterium. RNAcentral's name for it is "partial 16S ribosomal RNA". It matches the Rfam family "Bacterial small subunit ribosomal RNA", at positions 28 to 507 of the family's 1533-position model. The record is from RNAcentral.